CGUAGGGCGCAAGCGUUAUCCGGAAUUAUUGGGCGUAAAGAGCUCGUAGGCGGUUUGUCGCGUCUGCCGUGAAAGUCCGGGGCUCAACUCCGGAUCUGCGGUGGGUACGGGCAGACUAGAGUGAUGUAGGGGAGACUGGAAUUCCUGGUGCAGCGGUGAAAUGCGCAGAUAUCAGGAGGAACACCGAUGGCGAAGGCAGGUCUCUGGGCAUUAACUGACGCUGAGGAGCGAAAGCAUGGGGAGCGAACAGG
This 251-nucleotide ribosomal RNA is filed under the name uncultured bacterium. RNAcentral describes it as "partial 16S ribosomal RNA". It matches the Rfam family "Bacterial small subunit ribosomal RNA", at positions 526 to 776 of the family's 1533-position model. The record is from RNAcentral.